This 441-nucleotide ribosomal RNA is filed under the name uncultured bacterium. RNAcentral describes it as "partial 16S ribosomal RNA". It matches the Rfam family "Bacterial small subunit ribosomal RNA", at positions 338 to 795 of the family's 1533-position model. The record is from RNAcentral.
CCUACGGGAGGCAGCAGUGGGGGAUAUUGCACAAUGGGGGGAACCCUGAUGCAGCGACGCCGCGUGGGUGAAGGAGUGCUUCGGCAUGUAAAGCCCUAUCGGCAGGGAAGAAGCAAGACGGUACCUGACUAAGAAGCCCCGGCUAACGACGUGCCAGCAGCCGCGGUAAUACGUAGGGGGCGAGCGUUAUCCGGAUUCAUUGGGUGGAAAGGGAGCGUAGGCGGCGAAGCAAGCCAGGGGUGAAAGCCCGGGGCCCAACCCCGGGACUGCCCUUGAAACUGCAUGGCUGGAGUGCGGGAGGGGCAAGCGGAAUUCCUGGUGUAGCGGUGAAAUGCGUAGAUAUCAGGAGGAACACCAGCGGCGAAGGCGGCCUGCUGGAUCGCGACUGACGUUGAGGCUCGAAAGCGUGGGGAGCGAACAGGAUUAGAUACCCGGGUAGUC